This 492-nucleotide ribosomal RNA is filed under the name uncultured bacterium. RNAcentral's name for it is "partial 16S ribosomal RNA". It matches the Rfam family "Bacterial small subunit ribosomal RNA", at positions 28 to 507 of the family's 1533-position model. The record is from RNAcentral.
GAUGAACGCUAGCUACAGGCUUAACACAUGCGAGUCGAGGGGAAACGACAUCGAAAGCUUGCUUUUGAUGGGCGUCGACCGGCGCACGGGUGAGUAACGCGUAUCCAACCUGCCCACCACUUGGGGAUAACCUUGCGAAAGUAAGACUAAUACCCAAUGAUAUCCCACGAAGACAUCUGAAUGGGAUUAAAGAUUUAUCGGUGAUGGAUGGGGAUGCGUCUGAUUAGCUUGUUGGCGGGGUAACGGCCCACCAAGGCAACGAUCAGUAGGGGUUCUGAGAGGAAGGUCCCCCACAUUGGAACUGAGACACGGUCCAAACUCCUACGGGAGGCAGCAGUGAGGAAUAUUGGGCAAUGGGCGAGAGCCUGAACCAGCCAAGUAGCGUGCAGGAAGACGGCCCUAUGGGUUGUAAACUGCUUUUAUAAGGGAAUAAAGUGGGUCACGUGUGACUUUUUGCAUGUACCUUAUGAAUAAGGACCGGCUAAUUCCGUG